Molecule: long non-coding RNA, 1285 nt
Filed under: Apteryx rowi (Okarito brown kiwi)
Lineage: Eukaryota; Metazoa; Chordata; Aves; Apterygiformes; Apterygidae
Description: lncRNA (ENSARWG00000006286.1)
Source: RNAcentral
GAAGAGAAUUUCUAGGAACCAGGAAAUCCUAUUUUUAUUUCUUAAAUAAAUUCUGCAGUCUCCUUGCAAGUGGUUGAAGCUACUGAGCUAGUCUGUAUGUAUAUAACUUCUGGUCAAUGAUGGGCAGAGCUGAGUGUAAAGCGGAAAAAAUUUGUAAACACACUUUUAUGUAAAAUUCACGUUUUAUGAUUUGAAAGGAGCUCCCUGGAACUGUUCAUUUAAAAUCCUUUUGGUGCUAAUGAAAGUGGUCCUGUUUUCUGUUGUGCAGGAAGAAGCAGGAAGCUUUAAUAUGACCAGAAGUAAUUUCACAAACAAAAUCCAUGUUUCUUUUACUGCAGCCUGAUUGCAUUCAAACACGGUGUGAUAUUUCAGUGUCCAAGAAGCAGUAAGCAAAGCAUCAGUGAUCAACAAUAAUGCUGAUUCAGAGUCAGAUCAAUGAAGAAGUGUUGACCUGUUGACGCUGGAUAGCCCAGAAGCAAUGAGUUCUCGGCUGAACAAAUUAAGAAGAACCUGCCAAGCCUUCUGAAACCACUGUGGCUCUGGGUUGAUUGUUCAAGAAGGGAGUGGGGUGCUGAGUCUGGGCCUGUCAGGAGCGCAGUGCUGUCAUGUCCAGAAUGAACUGGGCUUGGAAAUUCAGCAAGCGAACUUUUUUGCUGCUGACUGUCUCGUGGAGGAGUGAGAGCAGGGCAGAGGGCGUACUGGAGCGCAGAUUUCGGAGGAGUCAGUAUGUGACUGCCCAGAGGAGGGAAGCCCUCUACCCUGGGAAAUGCUUCCAUUUCAUGAAAAUGAUGCCUGCUCAGCAUGCCUGGCUUAUUACUGCUUGCGGUGUGGAUUUGCUGCUGUUCCCAUGUCUCCUGAUGGGAUGGAGGGUGAGGGCAGAGAGGCAGGAUCUGCAGCUCAGAGCUGGGCAGCAGGAGGACGACAACAGAGCAGACAAGUGUUUGGCUAAAGCUCUCUUCUAGUGUAGGAGCUGUGCUCGCCUAUGGAGAGGUGCCCCAGGUGAGCGGGGGUUGGUAACUGYGGUGUGCGUGUUGCUCUUGCUUCUGUAAGGAAAUACAGAACAAAUCUUGGAACUGUGCAUUUCCGACACCUGUUAAAGCAAGAAUAUAUUUUAAUCAAGCUUACGGCAUGUCCAGGAUGCGCUUUGUGCUCCGGGGAAAAGGCCCUCCAGCAGUAGCUGCUCCAGAUGGCAAAUAGCUUUCAGCCCCGUAACUCUCCCUUCGUAGCUUGCUCUCGUCUGAUGUGGCCAGACAGGGUAGCGCAGGGCGUAACCACAGGAUGUAGA